Molecule: long non-coding RNA, 594 nt
Filed under: Manihot esculenta (cassava)
Lineage: Eukaryota; Viridiplantae; Streptophyta; Magnoliopsida; Malpighiales; Euphorbiaceae
Description: long non-coding RNA (MESC_LNC011672)
Source: RNAcentral
GUUCAGCCAUUUCAUGCAUAUCUCAAUGUGAUAUUUUCAGGAUGUUUUAGGGGGUUUUUGGGGAAUAUUUUAGAGUUAUGUUCAGGUAUGUUUGGUCCCUCAUUUGAGUCCACCUGUGUAGGUUCGGACCCGAGGAACCGAGGACCCCAGCAGUGAGUUCAGCUGCUUCGGUAUUGUCAGAGUCAGCCAGAGGUGAGUGGAACUAAACUUAAUCUUUUAAAUUAAAUGUUUUAUCAUGAUUCAUGCAUCAUGAUUAUGCAAUAGGAUGAUUGCAUUAGUUUCACGAAUCUGCCGCAUUGCAUCAAUUGUUGUUGAUGUGGGUGAAUGAUGGAUGACCCAAUUAGUCCAAGACAGGAAGACCAGGACCCCAUGCUACGGCCUGGCACAGAGUAAGAAAGACCAGGCCCCAGUCUACAGGCCUGGCACAGAGUAAAGCACGGUUAUGGGACUCGAAGACCAGGAGCCCAGAGGAGGCCCUGGAAAAUGGUAAGUAAUGUAUGUAUGACAGGAAGACCAGGACCCCAUGCUACGGCCUGGCACAGAGUUAACUUGGACUAUUUGGUGACAAGUUCACCCAACCCUUAUGUGAAUUGU